UUUUUUUUUUUUUUUUAACCUUCAUCUAUUAGUCACAGCACAAUUCCUGAUGUCAUGUGGCUCAUGAAAGUGUCUGUCAGUUUGAAUGAGACUUUAUUUUGUUGCAUUUGGCAAUAAAAUGUGUUCAUUAUGUUCAAAAGUAAGUCCAUAGAUGUUCAUAGGACAUUAAAUCUGUUACUCUAGUCAUUCAGGUCUCUAUUCCAUUCAGUCCACUAUGGUUUUAUUACUAUACUAUUGUGGGCACGACAUGGCUUGUAUUGUGCGGAUGUGCCAAAAUAUCAAAUAUUAACUGAAAAAGUGGUCUACCCUUAUCUGGUAUGUUCAUCAUUCAUUUCUGACAAUAGUUCCAUCCUAGUUGUUUUUGCCAAACACAUGAACAUCAAUAACAAAUGCUCUGUGAGGCCUAAUAACAAUCCUGUAUAAAUCCACCAAGUUGCUGAGAGUCAAAUAGUUCUGUAUGUUCUUUUGACCAGGGUUAAAUGUUUUAUCGCACAUAAAUCUCAUGCCAUUUUGUUAAAAUAAAAGAAAGUAUUAAGUUAUGAAAUAUUAAAUGUAUAUAUUUUUUUUAAUUUUCUAUAGGUGUUGGU
This is a non-coding RNA of Biomphalaria pfeifferi, 587 nucleotides long. NCBI's taxonomy places the organism in Eukaryota, Metazoa, Mollusca, Gastropoda, Planorbidae. The record is from the annotation of a GenBank genome assembly.